CCCCCGUCAGGACGAUCGCUGGCGGCGUGCCUAAUACAUGCAAGUCGAACGCUUUUUCUUUCACCGGAGCUUGCUCCACCGAAAGAAAAGGAGUGGCGAACGGGUGAGUAACACGUGGGUAACCUGCCCAUCAGAAGGGGAUAACACUUGGAAACAGGUGCUAAUACCGUAUAACAAUCGAAACCGCAUGGUUUCGGUUUGAAAGGCGCUUUUGCGUCACUGAUGGAUGGACCCGCGGUGCAUUAGCUAGUUGGUGAGGUAACGGCUCACCAAGGCAACGAUGCAUAGCCGACCUGAGAGGGUGAUCGGCCACAUUGGGACUGAGACACGGCCCAAACUCCUACGGGAGGCAGCAGUAGGGAAUCUUCGGCAAUGGACGCAAGUCUGACCGAGCAACGCCGCGUGAGUGAAGAAGGUUUUCGGAUCGUAAAACUCUGUUGUUAGAGAAGAACAAGGAUGAGAGUAGAAUGUUCAUCCCUUGACGGUAUCUAACCAGAAAGCCACGGCUAACUACGUGCCAGCAGCCGCGGUAAUACGUAGGUGGCAAGCGUUGUCCGGAUUUAUUGGGCGUAAAGCGAGCGCAGGCGGUUUCUUAAGUCUGAUGUGAAAGCCCCCGGCUCAACCGGGGAGGGUCAUUGGAAACUGGGAAACUUGAGUGCAGAAGAGGAGAG
This 671-nucleotide ribosomal RNA is filed under the name Enterococcus avium. RNAcentral's name for it is "bacterial SSU rRNA". It matches the Rfam family "Bacterial small subunit ribosomal RNA", at positions 18 to 661 of the family's 1533-position model. The record is from RNAcentral. Lineage: Bacteria; Bacillati; Bacillota; Bacilli; Lactobacillales; Enterococcaceae.